RNAcentral lists this ribosomal RNA (548 nucleotides) under uncultured bacterium. RNAcentral describes it as "bacterial SSU rRNA". It matches the Rfam family "Bacterial small subunit ribosomal RNA", at positions 777 to 1327 of the family's 1533-position model. The record is from RNAcentral.
AAUAGAUACCCCGGUAGUCCACGCCGUAAACGUUGGAUACUAGGUGUGGCGGUCUACCAACGACUGCCGUGCCGAAGCUAACGCAUUAAGUAUCCCGCCUGGGGAGUACGGCCGCAAGGCUAAAACUCAAAGGAAUUGACGGGUCCCCGCACAAGCGGCGGAGCAUGCGGCUUAAUUCGAUGCAACCCGAAGAACCUUACCUGGGUUUGACAUCAUGGGAAAAGCCGUAGAAAUACGGUGUCCGAAAGGGCCCAUGACAGGUGGUGCAUGGCUGUCGUCAGCUCGUGUCGUGAGAUGUUGGGUUAAGUCCCGCAACGAGCGCAACCCUUGUCCUAUGUUGCCAGCGGUUCGGCCGGGGACUCAUAGGAGACUGCCGGGGAUAACUCGGAGGAAGGUGAGGACGACGUCAAGUCAUCAUGCCCCUUAUAUCCAGGGCUGCACGCAUGCUACAAUGGCCGGUACAACGGGAAGCGACCCCGCGAGGGUGAGCGAAUCCCUUAAAGCCGGUCCAGUUCGGAUUGAAGUCUGCAACUCGACUUCAUGAAGCC